This 363-nucleotide unclassified non-coding RNA is filed under the name fungal sp. RNAcentral describes it as "partial internal transcribed spacer region". The stretch from base 1 to 46 matches the Rfam family "Eukaryotic small subunit ribosomal RNA", at positions 1786 to 1831 of the family's 1831-position model. Lineage: Eukaryota; Fungi. The record is from RNAcentral.
AAGUCGUAACAAGGUUUCCGUAGGUGAACCUGCGGAAGGAUCAUUAACACGUAUCCACGUUUUAACAAACACUAUCAACACCAGAAAGAACUGAACUCCCUACUGAUAAAACUGCGUUGGCAGGCGUCGACUAUCAUACCUCGAGUAUGUGCCAAAACAUUAUUAGUAGGCUUACUGACUCUAUUCUCGCGUGGAAGUCAAAUUCCAAUCCUUACCAUCAUAAGGCCGAGUCUAGAACCCCAUAACCUAUUUCACCCUAUUUUACCCAUUUGACUAAUUUCUAUAUUCUUAGGAGAAAUCCUUUGAAUUACUAAGAUUUAUCUUAACUAAGCACAACUCUUAGCAAUGGAUAUCUUGGUUCUC